Molecule: ribosomal RNA, 497 nt
Filed under: uncultured bacterium
Lineage: Bacteria
Description: partial 16S ribosomal RNA
Rfam family: Bacterial small subunit ribosomal RNA
Source: RNAcentral
GACGAACGCUGGCGGCGUGCCUAAUACAUGCAAGUUGAGCGAUGAAGCUUGGUGCUUGCACCAAUUUGAAGAGCAGCGAACGGGUGAGUAACGCGUGGGGAAUCUGCCUUUGAGCGGGGGACAACAUUUGGAAACGAAUGCUAAUACCGCAUAACAACUUUAAACAUAAGUUUUAAGUUUGAAAGAUGCAAUUGCAUCACUCAAAGAUGAUCCCGCGUUGUAUUAGCUAGUUGGUGAGGUAAAGGCUCACCAAGGCGAUGAUACAUAGCCGACCUGAGAGGGUGAUCCGCCACAUUGGGACUGGGACACGGCCCAAACUCCUACGGGAGGCAGCAGUAGGGAAUCUUCGGACAUGGACGAAAGUCUGACCGAGCAACGCCGCGUGAGUGAAGAAGGUUUUCGGAUCGUAAAACUCUGUUGGUAGAGAAGAGCGUUUGUGAGAGUGGAAAGCUCAUCAAGUGACGGUAACUACCCAGAAAGGGACGGCUAACUACGUG